This 429-nucleotide ribosomal RNA is filed under the name Verrucomicrobiota bacterium. Its description in RNAcentral is "Verrucomicrobia bacterium partial 16S ribosomal RNA". It matches the Rfam family "Bacterial small subunit ribosomal RNA", at positions 355 to 776 of the family's 1533-position model. The record is from RNAcentral. Lineage: Bacteria; Pseudomonadati; Verrucomicrobiota.
UAGGGAAUCUUCCGCAAUGGACGAAAGUCUGACGGAGCAACGCCGCGUGAGUGAAGAAGGAUUUCGGUUCGUAAAACUCUGUUGUUAGGGAAGAAAAAAUGUAUAGUAACUAUAUACAAAAGAGACGGUACCUAACCAGAAAGCCACGGCUAACUACGUGCCAGCAGCCGCGGUAAUACGUAGGUGGCAAGCGUUGUCCGGAAUUAUUGGGCGUAAAGCGCGCGCAGGUGGUUUAGAAAGUCUGAUGUGAAAGCCCACGGCUCAACCGUGGAGGGUCAUUGGAAACUAAUAAACUUGAGUGCAGGAGAGAAAAGUGGAAUUCCUAGUGUAGCGGUGAAAUGCGUAGAGAUUAGGAGGAACACCGGUGGCGAAAGCGGCUUUUUGGCCUGCAACUGACACUGAGGCUCGAAAGCGUGGGGAGCAAACAGG